GCUCUUUGUGCUCAAAGAGCACAGCCUAUGCUCUGCAGCGGUAGCGUGGCAGGCAUCCAUUGUCUUUUGCCUGGCCAGACUCAUCAGCAUUGCUCCAAUGGACUACAUCUUGUUCUGCACAGGCAGCUGAAAGGGGCAGUCUGUCACUGUGACUCUGCAUUGUGGCCGUUUGCAGUGUAGUCAUAGUCGCGGCCAUCGUCGAGGCCUCAUCGGCCGCACCUCUUCCGGGGCCGCUCUUGUUUUGCGUCUCGCUGGCGCCCUUUCAGGGUUUCCUUCCCUGCGUCAUCAUGGCCUCGGGUCUUUCUCGCCGGCCUCCUCUGCGUCAGUCUUCUGAGCUUUGCCGGUGCCUUUCCAUCCUGGGCAUUGACGUUUGACUCUUUUCUGGGCUCGUCCAGAGCCUAGGCCCUACGAUGCCACCACUGUGUGGCUCUUCCUGGCCAGUAGUGUCUUAUGUGUGGGAACAGGUUUUUUUUGUGUAGGGCUGUCCUCUGUGUUUGUGUCUGCUGUUUGUUUGUCUGUGUGUUUUUGGGGCUGGAGCUGCCUUGCCUGUGGGUGUUAGCCAUGGUGGUGUGUGGAGUGUGUCCGUGAUGUACUGGAGUGGUGGUGUUGCAGGCAUCGUCUGAGUGUGUGAUUUCUCUCUGUGCUUGCAGGUUUUGCGGGAAGUUGUGGAGAGAAGCAGCUGAGUGCUGAGAAGAGCCUGAGCAGGUCUGCUGUGGGCCUUUCCCAGGCGUGGCUGAGACUUUCAGGUGCCACGGGCUUCCUCCCCAGGCAUUGGAGUUGUUGUGGUGCAGGUGAUGAAGGCAAAUGUGGUGAGCAAAGGAAGAUCAGUGUGGAUGCGGCUGCUGCUGAGGAUGGCUCUUGAGGACUGGUGACCUACAGCACUGCCACAGUUAAGUUGAGGGGCAAAGGGUGUUGGGGCAUCCUCAGUUUCUGUGUAUGUGUGUGUGCGUGCUGAUGUUCAGUGUAGAGUGGAGGGUUGUUCUGGAUGAGUGGUGUGUGUGAGGCAGAGGCAGUGGGGUGUGCAUGGCAGAAAGCGAGGGUGGAUGUCAGGCAGGGCAGCUCCAGCCUGUGUGUGUGUUGUUGUGUAGUCUAUGUGGUGUGUGUUGUAGCUGUGCUAUCUUUUGCUCAGGUCUUGAUGUUGCUCUUGCUCUUUGUGCUCAAGGAGCACAGCCUAUGCUCUGCAGCAGUAGUGUGGCAGGCAUCCAUUGUCUUUUGCCUGGCCAGACUCAUCAGCAUUGCUCCAAUGGACUACGUCUUGUUCUGCAUAGGCAGCUGAAAGGGGUGGUCUGUGACUCUGACUGUGCAUCGUGGCCGUUUGCGGUCCGUCAUAGUCGUGGCCACCGUUGAGGCCUCAUUGGCCACACCUCUUCCGGGGCCGCUCUUGUCUUGCGUCUCGCUGGCGCCCUUUCAGGGUUUCCUUCCCUGCGUCAUCAUGGCCUCGGGUCUUUCUCGCCGGCCUCCUCUGCAUCACUCUUCUGAGCUUUGCCGGUCCCUUUCCAUCCUGGGCAUUGACGUUUGACUCUUUUCUGGGCUCGUCCAGAGCCUCGGCCCUACGACGCCACGACCGUGCGGCUCUUUCUGGCCGGCAGUCUUAUGUGUGGGAAUAGGGUUUUUUUUGUGUAGGGCUGUCCUCUGUGUUUGUGUCUGCUGUUUGUUUGUCUGUGUGUUUUUGGGGCUGGAGCUGCCUUGCCUGUGGGUGUUAGCCAUGGUGGUGUGUGGAGUGUGUCCGUGAUGGACUGGAGUGGUGGUGUUGCGGGCAUCGCCUGAGUGUGUGACUUCUCUCUGUGCUUGCAGGUUUUGCGGGAAGUUGUGGAGAGAAGCAGCUGAGUGCUGAGAAGAGCCUGAGCAGGUGAGUGGGGCAGCCUGUUG
Molecule: long non-coding RNA, 1869 nt
Organism: Dromaius novaehollandiae (emu)
Lineage: Eukaryota; Metazoa; Chordata; Aves; Casuariiformes; Dromaiidae
Exons: 4
Source: RefSeq, a predicted model, not a curated record